CCUGUAAUAAAUUUAGAAUCUCGCUGUGAGCCUAAUAAAACCUUUAGAACGUAUAAAUAUUAGAAAUGCAGAUGUGUUUUUAAAUGAUUUUGUAUAAUUUGACAUCGUUAACGUUUUUCACUCUGUGUGGAGUUUAAAGACGCUCCCUUGCGUCAUCGCUCGCGGCACAAAUAAAUGAAAGUAAAAGUGCAUUUGAAGUUCCGCCAUUUUAAACAGCCAUUUACGCGUAGAAGCCGGUGGAGUUUGUGAACAUUAAUGAAGGUGCAGGUCUCUGAUUUAAAGAGUCAGUGCUGGACAUCAGAUUCUGCUUCAUCAUGGAUGACACACAACCCACUGAGCAAAAGUACGUCCAAUCGAGGUCUUUUCAACGUCUUUGUCGGACGUUGAAAUGACGUCCCCUGAAGCUUUUGAUAGUAAAUGGGAGUCUCCAUCGUGUUUUUAUGUCUCUAUAUUUUAAGAUAAAAUGUUAUUAAAACAAAAAGACUGUAAACCCUUUAUCAUAUCAUCAUAAAGGAUUAAAUGUGUUUGUUAUAGUUCAGUUGAUCAGAAGAGAUCAGAAGCAGAGUCCAGCUGUGUGUCUCUGAGGAGUGACCGGUCUAUGAAUCAUCCAUUAGCUUUUAAGAGUGGAGAUACACAGACUGAUCUCAGUUCAGUUCCUCAGAAGAGAUCAGAGUCCAGCUGUGUGUCUGUGAGGAGUGACACAUCUAUGAAUCAGUCAUUAGAUUAUAAGAGUGAAGAUACAAAGACUGAUCCCAGCCAUGAAGUCCUCAAGAUGUUUAGAUCAAAUCUGCUGAAGAAGUUUGAGCGUCUGUAUGAAGGCACAGCGACGCAGAGAAACCCAACACUCCUGAAUGAGAUCUACACA
Molecule: long non-coding RNA, 865 nt
Organism: Cyprinus carpio (common carp)
Lineage: Eukaryota; Metazoa; Chordata; Actinopteri; Cypriniformes; Cyprinidae
Source: Ensembl